RNAcentral lists this non-coding RNA (843 nucleotides) under Hemiarthrum setulosum. Lineage: Eukaryota; Metazoa; Mollusca; Polyplacophora; Chitonida; Hemiarthridae. The record is from RNAcentral.
AAAUUUGGUUCUAGUUUCAAGUUGACUUUAUCUUUUAGAAAUACAUGAUAGGUUUUCGAAAUUGUAAAUUAUGAGGUUUUUAGCUAGGCUUUAACAGUAUUAACUACUAACUUUAUACAUAUUAAAUUAUUUAAUGAUAAAAACUCUUACAACUUCAGUAUUUAAAAUUAAAUAUUAAGGAAACUUAAAUUUAGAAAUAGAGAAUAAAGCUAGCUAAAUUUGUGCCAGCAGCUGCGGUUAAACAAAAGGCUUAAGUCAACAGCUUCGGUAAAAGGUAGUUACUUAGUAUUUUACUAUCAAAUUAAAAGAAAUAAAAAGGUAAAAUUUAAAUUUCUUAAUAAACUUUAAUUGGUACAAAAAGAGGCUACUAAAUUCUUAACUAAAACUGGGAUUAGAUACCCCACUAUUAGGAGCCAAAUUCUAAACACCUGAGUAUUACGGGCUUAAGCUUAAAACUCAAAGAACUUGGCGGUACUUUAUAUUUAACUAGGGGAACCUGUCCUAUAACCGAUACCCCGCGUUACACCUGACUUUCCUUGGUGUUCACCCUAAGCUUGUAUACUUCCGUCAUAAGUUGAUUCUUAAAGAAAUAAAAAUUAACUACUUAAUUACUUAUUAUGAUGUCAGGUCGAAGUGCAGCUAAUAGGAAAGAUGAGAUGGGUUACAAUUUAAAACCAAAUCAGAUAAAGAAAUGAAAAAUCUUUUGAAGUUGAACUUAGAAGUAAUUUUAAAUCACGAAUAUUGAAUUGAACAUAACUCUAAAGUGUGCACAUAUUGCCCGUCACUCUCCUUAUACAAAAGGAGAUAAGUCGUAACAUAGUAGAGGUAGCGGAAGCUGCCCCU